Molecule: RNA transcript, 811 nt
Organism: Tarenaya hassleriana
Lineage: Eukaryota; Viridiplantae; Streptophyta; Magnoliopsida; Brassicales; Cleomaceae
Gene name: probable small nuclear ribonucleoprotein G
Exons: 6
Source: RefSeq, a predicted model, not a curated record
GUGUCGAGGGUUUUUGGAAUCACAAAUCUCAAAGUAAACCAAAACCCUAGUCUCUCAUCCCUCCCGUUUCUGCAACCAUGAGCCGAUCAGGACAGCCCCCGGAUCUCAAGAAGUACAUGGAUAAGAAACUUCAAAUCAAGCUUAAUGCUAACCGUAUGAUCGUCGGAACUCUUCGUGGGUUUGACCAGUUCAUGAAUCUUGUUGUGGACAACACCAUCGAAGUGAACGGUAAUGAGAGAACCGACAUUGGCAUGGUGGUGAUUAGAGGAAACAGUGUUGUCACAGUUGAAGCUCUCGAGCCAGUGGGCAGAUCUUAAUCUUAUAUAUAUCCAUUGUGUCUUGGGGUACGUACAUGCCUAGAAGAUCUUUUUGGUAGCAUGUAAUCUGUCGAACUCAAGAUUACUAGGAAAGGAUGGUGAGGAGGAAGAAAAGGGUAAUGGAGCAAUUUGAUCAUGAGCUCCAACGGCUAUUUCCCUUUAUUCUUUUAUGCUUUUUCUUUGCCCUUUGUUACUUCAAUUAUAAGAGUUUCUUAUCAAACAGAAAGGAAGCGAUGUCUUGAGAAGAGAAUAUGUGAAAGUGGAAUGGAACCAAACAUGCUUCCAAACAAGUCUUCACUUGAGGCAAGAGCAUAUCUUUUUCCUCUCCCCAAAGAAACAAUACAACGCAAUAUUCGGCACGUGGGUUCGUUGUCGCACGUGGGUUUGGUUUUAUUCCUUUUGCCCUUUUAUUCUCUUUGUUUCAGAUGAUAUCAUGUGUUGUUGGUUGCUUUGUUUUAACGACUAAAUGAAAAAAUAAGAUAUUAUUUUUUCAA